Molecule: non-coding RNA, 1388 nt
Organism: Chrysemys picta bellii (western painted turtle)
Lineage: Eukaryota; Metazoa; Chordata; Testudines; Emydidae
Source: RefSeq, a predicted model, not a curated record
GCUUUCCUUUAUGUUUUGUCCAUACUUUCAAAAAGUGUUGAUGAUCAUAAUCAUCCCAGCCUCCUUGUCGUCCUCCUGUUUGCUGAAGGAACCUUUCAAAUUCUACUACUUCUUCAGGAAACUUAAUGCUGGUGAAAAGAAUGUGACUGAGAGCCUUUGUUUUCAGUCCUGCAACAGGAUGUGCAAGGAUGAGCCCUUACAAUCUCAUGGAGUCUUGAAGAGUGGAGAUAUGUCAGUAUCAGAUUCACAGAAGGAUAGGCAGACUGGAGAAAGGACAUCCAGAGCCUGCACUGAUGGCAUAAGCAGAGACCUUCCCUGCAAGACAAUUAUCCAAGAAAAUUGAACUUUUGUCUAUAAAAGGCAAGUAUUUCAAACUCCAUCAACAAGACUUACAUUCCGGUGUAGGCUUCACAUCUUUCAAUUGUCGUUGAAGUCUCUUAACAUUAUUGUGUAUUUUUGCUAGUUGUUGCUGGAUUUUUGCUUCUUUGGAAGAAAAAUAAGUUAGUCAGUCAUGUUAAAAGUCUAAUUGUACAUCAAAUUGAAAUUUCUUGCCUUUACCCUCAAACCUCUAAGUCAUUCAGCCCCGACAUCUCUGGUCUGGUCACCUUUCAUGUCUUCUCUGACACAACUUCCCAUUCCAACAAUGAUGCCAGCAAAAAUGCCAGUAUUGAUACCGUCUUCAUCAUCUUCUCAUAGAAGCAGCGCCAUCCAUGCUUUCUUGCUGCCCCUUGUGCUGGGAACACCAAUUCUGACUCUAGCCACUUCCCUUGCCCCAUUCAAAUUCCUCCUACUCACCUCUGUCAUAAGGCCUAUAAAAUGUGGAGGAAAGAAUAGCUAUCCUUAACAAACAAAACAGCACCAUCAAAAUGUGUACUAACUUUACUGAGUAAUAUGAUCUUAUUGCUAUCUUUGCCCUUCCUUUCCCUGCUUUGUGUGUUUAGUAGGACGCUAACAUGUUAGGUCAUGUUAGUUUGUAUGCUCUUCAGAAUAUGUAAUGUGUCUAUUUAUUUUGUGAGGUACCUAGCAUAUCUUUGGGAGUGCAGAAAAUAAUUUAAAGAUAUUGUGUUUGGGGACUUUUUGAAAAUGCCUAUCUCCAAUGAUGGUGUCAACUUCCCUGAACGACACAUCAGGUCUUUUCUCAAUAUUGAGUGUACUACCCUCUAUUUCAGGCACACUCAAAGUGUUAACCAACUUCUGCAGUCCUCCCUGCAACCAACAUACCUUCUCAUGCUGUCAUCUAUCCUUACCAGCCCUGGAAUACAUAACUGGACAUUUCAAUGCCUGGAUUCUCUAGGACCCACUUCCAAUGCUUCUGCAAAUCCAGACACUGAAAUAUUCAAAGAUCUACUUUUUUUAAGUGAUCAGUGUGGGAGACACAGAGAAUCCUU